UACGUAGGGUGCGAGCGUUAAUCGGAAUUACUGGCGUAAAGCGUGCGCAGGCGGUUUUGUAAGCCAGAUGUGAAAUCCCCGGGCUUAACCUGGGAAUGGCAUUUGGGACUGCAAAGCUGGAGUGCGGCAGAGGGGACUGGAAUUCCUGGUGUAGCGAGUGAAAUGCGUAGAGAUCAGGAGGAAUACCGAUGGCGAAGGCAGGUCCCUGGGCUGACACUGACGCUCAUGCACGAAAGCGUGGGGAGCAAACAGG
Molecule: ribosomal RNA, 253 nt
Filed under: uncultured bacterium
Lineage: Bacteria
Description: partial 16S ribosomal RNA
Rfam family: Bacterial small subunit ribosomal RNA
Source: RNAcentral